GACGGAGGAUCCGAGCGUUAUCCGGAGUGACUGGGCGUAAAGAGUUGCGUAGGCGGUUUGUUAAGCAGAUAGUGAAAUCUCGUGGCUCAACCAUGAGGCUAUUAUCUGAACUGGCAAACUUGAGAAUGAGAGAGGUAAUUGGAAUUCCCAGUGUAGCGGUGAAAUGCGUAGAUAUUGGGAAGAACACCAAUGGCGUAGGCAGAUUACUGGCUCAUUUCUGACGCUAAGGCACGAAAGCGUGGGGAGCGAACCGG
This 254-nucleotide ribosomal RNA is filed under the name uncultured bacterium. RNAcentral's name for it is "partial 16S ribosomal RNA". It matches the Rfam family "Bacterial small subunit ribosomal RNA", at positions 524 to 776 of the family's 1533-position model. The record is from RNAcentral.